GAGCUGAGCAGGCAGGAGGAGAGUCGGCGGGCAACAGCUGAAGGGAAACAUCCACCAGCGCAACGGUAAUUUAAUAAAUUCCCAAGGCUCUGUGUGGAAUUAGAAGAAGCGAGACUUUGGUCAGAGGAGGGCUUUUAGGAAACCAGGGAACGCACAUCAGAGGCACAGCAGUCGAUGAGCUUGUUGGCGUUAACUGUGGAGUAAUGGGUAGAGUCGGUUUCCCCAGGAGGUUGUGGGUUUGAUCCCAACUCCGUCAAGAGCCAAAGUGUCCCUGGGC
This is a long non-coding RNA of Cololabis saira (Pacific saury), 277 nucleotides long. RefSeq lists it as uncharacterized. The transcript has 3 exons. The record is from RefSeq and is a predicted model, not a curated record. Lineage: Eukaryota; Metazoa; Chordata; Actinopteri; Beloniformes; Belonidae.